AUUAAGUUUAAUUUAAUAUAGGAUCUGCUCAAUGAUUUAUUAAAUAGCUGCAGUAUUUUGACUGUGCAAAGGUAGCAUAAUAAUUAGUCUUUUAAUUGAGGACUUGUAUGAAAGAUUUGAUGAGAAAUAAACUUUAUUAUUUAUAUAAUUAAAAUUUUAUUUUUAAGUAAAAAAGCUUAAAUUAUUUAAAGGGACGAUAAGACCCUAUAAAACUUUAUAAAUAUUAAUUUUGAUUUUUUUGGAUUUAUAAAUAUUUUAAUUUUAUUAUUUAUUUUAUUGGGGUGAUAAAAAAAAUUAUUAAACUUUUUUUAAAAUUUUACAUUAUUUAAUGAGUAUUUGAAUUAAAAUUUUUAAUUAAAGGAAAAAGUUACUUUAGGGAUAACAGCGUAAUUAAUUUUUUAAGUUCAAAUUUAAAAAUUAGUUUGCGACCUCGAUGUUGAAUUAAGAUUAAUCUUAGGUGCAAAAUUUUAAGUAUUAGGUCUGUUCGACCUUUAAAUUCUUACGUGA
This 507-nucleotide ribosomal RNA is filed under the name Myzus persicae (green peach aphid). Its description in RNAcentral is "partial 16S ribosomal RNA". The record is from RNAcentral. Lineage: Eukaryota; Metazoa; Arthropoda; Insecta; Hemiptera; Aphididae.